Molecule: non-coding RNA, 2338 nt
Organism: Cyanistes caeruleus (blue tit)
Lineage: Eukaryota; Metazoa; Chordata; Aves; Passeriformes; Paridae
Source: RefSeq, a predicted model, not a curated record
CGCUGCAGUGGGGCUGUCCCUCCAUCCAGAGCAUUCCCGGUUGUGCUGAGCAGGACGUGGUGCUCUCAGGGAAAGGAGCCCUCUGGAAAAGCUGUGUUUGGAUGCACUCUACAAACCGUGUCCCUUUUAUUUCUCUUCCCGUGCCAAUGAGUUGAGGGUUAUCAGCGUGUAUGGAAGUGAGAAAUUUGAUAAUUCCCUUUUCCAGUCCUUGUGGAGCUGUCCAGCUGCCAGAUCUGUUACAGCAGCCACAUGACCUGCACACACCUGCCAUUAUUCCUUACCAUGAGCUCUGAGGGAAAGGUGGGAGCACCUGGGAAUAAUCCUGAGCUUCCAUUGAAUUUUGGAGCUGAUUACAGAGACUCCCAUUUCUCUGGAGGAAGUGUGUGUCAUCCUUGGUGCUCUGCCAGGUUCUGUUUAAUUGCUCUUUAUUAAGAGCAGCCCUAGGCACAAGAUAAUCUUUAUAGAGGCCACGAUCCAUCCUGACCCAGCUGCAUCCCACGGCUUGGGAGGAACCAGCUCCGAGGCUCAGCCAGGUAAGACUCUCUCAGAGGUGUAGAAAAACCAAAUGCAAGGAGGUCUCCUCACGAGGGUAAAGGAACUCAUGAUUUUAAUUUUCUGAUUGUUAAUUUCCUCUCUCAUUCUGCCAUGUGGUGCAUCUCUCAUCUCAUUUGGAAAAGCAAGGGAGAAAUGGAAACACACCCAGAGAUCAGCAACACUAUUCUGACAGGGCUGGUGAUGGCAAAAUGAUCACCCUCAAGCUGUGCUCACUCAUUUGGCUCUCAUUUGAAGGUCAUGGCUUUGAGUAUCUCUGCAAACAGUGCACAGGGCUAUGACCAAAGUGUAGGGGGAAAAAUUCUAGACUGUGAUCAAAAUAAAAAAAUCCUCUCCAAACCCAAGAGUCCCUAGGUGUCCGUAAUCAAACUGUGGUUGUAAUUUGUGUAGCCUGAAGAUGUGGCCAGUCCAUGAGCUGGUGACCUGGAAAUGCACUGGGCGUCCCAGCGUUACUGAGCUCAGCAUUAACUCCACUGAAUCUGGAGGCAUUGGGAUCUGUCACCAAUAUGGUGACAAUCAGAAAUUUUAAAAAAUAGCCAACAAAGGGAAAUCAGGUUUUUUUCCUUUCCUGUUUUCAGUUUUACAGCACCAGCACAGUCAGGGAAUGUUGCAUUUGUGCUCUUCAGCUGGAUGUGCCAUUGGAUAUUUUGGUUCUCAGUGUGGAAAAGAGGCAGUUUGAAGUCAGCUACUGAAAAAAUAAUUUUGAAGGUGUUUUUAAUGUCUUGCUUCAAGAAAGACAGUGGGUGGAGCUUGGAUUCAGGUAGCAAAUCCAAUUUCCUGUCCUGAAUGGCAGUGCCAGUGUGGCAAUUAGACCAUGAAGGACAAUACUAAUUGUAAGGUGUAUGUGGGUGGGGAAAAAAAAGGAUUCACUUAUGAUUUCACAUGUUCACAUUUCACAUGAUGAUUAUUUCAGUUUCCUUGACAACUUCCACUGUGCAGCCUGAGUAUCCCUGAGAAUUCCACUUGGAAGCAAGUGGGCAGCAGGUAGAUACUGGAGAUGGGAAUGCUUUGAGGGAGAACAGUGGGAAACUUUGGUUCAAACCUGUUUUACUGUGGUUUUGUUCUUCCCAUCAAACGCUGUGUCAUUGUUUUCACUUCCCAUUGAACUGGUGGUGGUUCUUUAGAGGUGCAUAUGGCACCAGGAAGAGCAGUGGAAACGUUUACUGAAGUCCCUUUUUUAUUUUUUCAUUGGGAAACUGAAUGGUCACUAAAUUGUGUAACAUAAACAGUUACAGCAGAGUAGACUUUGGUUAGAGAUAGAGCAAAACCAGUUGAAAAAGCAGUAGAAAAGGAUUUUGCUUCAGUAUUUCAGAUACAGAAUCCCUGCAGCUCUGGGCUCUGGGCUUGUCUUCAUCAGUCCCUCUGCUCCCAAGCAUUAAAUCAUCACAACCAAAACCUCAAAGAGCUCAGAAGGCUUUAAAAAAAGACGAAGUGUUGGGUUGUUUAGCUUUUCCCAUCCAUCAUUUCAAUCUUUGCAUGAUAUCUUCAAAGAUUUUCUUUUUAAUAAAAAUGGGAUUGCUCUGCAAUCCCAUGAGAGAUCCUUUCAGGGAGAAAGUAAAAUUGCAAGACCCUAAAAAUCACAAGGAAUGACAAUGAAGUUGGGUUACAGAUGUAAUUGGCUUUAAUUGAAAAACCAUCUACUGGAAAAAAACCUCAAAUGUAGCUGAACAAUGCUACAGGUCAAAGGAAGUUCCUGAGGAGAGAGGUAAUGGUUAUAGGGGAUCAGGAAAGGAACAAGGGGUGCUUAACCCAAAAGAGGAAAAAUGGAAUCAUUUACUUUAUACAU